UGGGGAAUAUUGGACAAUGGGCGCAAGCCUGAUCCAGCAAUGCCGCGUGGGUGAAGAAGGUCUUCGGAUCGUAAAGCCCUUUCGGCGGGGACGAUGAUGACGGUACCCGCAGAAGAAGCCCCGGCUAACUUCGUGCCAGCAGCCGCGGUAAUACGAAGGGGGCUAGCGUUACUCGGAAUUACUGGGCGUAAAGGGCGCGUAGGCGGCGCACCAAGUUAGGCGUGAAAGUCCUGGGCUCAACCUGGGAACUGCGCUUGAUACUGGUGUGCUUGAGGAUGGAAGAGGGUUGUGGAAUUCCCAGUGUAGAGGUGAAAUUCGUAGAUAUUGGGAAGAACACCGGUGGCGAAGGCGGCAACCUGGUCCAUUACUGACGCUGAGGCGCGACAGCGUGGGGAGCAAACAGGAUUAGAUACCCUGGUAGUCCACGCCGUAAACGAUGUGCGCUGGAUGUUGGGUGACCUAGUCACUCAGUGUCGUAGCUAACGCGAUAAGCGCACCGCCUGGGGAGUACGGCC
This 515-nucleotide ribosomal RNA is filed under the name uncultured bacterium. Its description in RNAcentral is "bacterial SSU rRNA". It matches the Rfam family "Bacterial small subunit ribosomal RNA", at positions 355 to 887 of the family's 1533-position model. The record is from RNAcentral.